Molecule: non-coding RNA, 73 nt
Organism: Veillonella sp. oral taxon 780
Lineage: Bacteria; Bacillati; Bacillota; Negativicutes; Veillonellales; Veillonellaceae
Source: Rfam
UCCUCGAUAGCUCAGCAGGUAGAGCAAUCGGCUGUUAACCGAUCGGUCGUAGGUUCGAGUCCUACUCGAGGAG